AAGUCAAGUUGGGCAAUUGCUACAAAAGGUUAGUAUUCUUGAGUAGAGGAAAGUCCGAACUCCAGAGAACGCGGUGCCGGGUAACACCCGGGGACCGGUGACGCAAGUUACCGGUUACGGAAAGUGCCACAGAAAAUGAACCGCCCCGGUUUUCGGGGUAAGGGUGAAAAGGCAGGGUAAGAGCCUACCGCUUCUAUAGUAAUGUAGGAGGUCCUUUUGAUAAGGAGUAUUCGACAUGAGAAUAUCAGGGCAAACCACACCGGGAGCAAGGUCAAGCAGGAGGAUUACCGGCAUGUGCCGGUUCAAAAUUGUUCGUUUUGUAUGCCUCCGGGUAGACCGCUUAAGUCUUUCAGUAAUGAAAGAUUGAGAUAAAUAAUUGCCGUCCCGUUUGCGGGAUACAGAAUUCGGCUUAUAGACUUGGCAAUCAG
This 428-nucleotide RNase P RNA is filed under the name Melioribacteraceae bacterium. Its description in RNAcentral is "RNase P RNA component class A". It matches the Rfam family "Bacterial RNase P class A". From Rfam's summary of the family: Ribonuclease P (RNase P) is a ubiquitous endoribonuclease, found in archaea, bacteria and eukarya as well as chloroplasts and mitochondria. The record is from RNAcentral. Lineage: Bacteria; Pseudomonadati; Ignavibacteriota; Ignavibacteria; Ignavibacteriales; Melioribacteraceae.